GAUGAACGCUGGCGGCGUGCCUAAUACAUGCAAGUCGAGCGAACAGACGAGGAGCUUGCUCCUCUGACGUUAGCGGCGGACGGGUGAGUAACACGUGGAUAACCUACCUAUAAGACUGGGAUAACUUCGGGAAACCGGCGCUAAUACCGGAUAAUAUAUUGAACCGCAGGGUUCAAUAGUGAAAGACGGCUUUGCUGUCACUUAUAGAUGGAUCUGGGCCUCAUUGGCUGGUUGGUAAGGUAACGGCUUACCAAGGCAACGAUGCGUAGCCGACGUGAGAGAGGGAUCGCCCACCCUGGAACUGAGACGCCGUCCAGACUCCUGCGGGAGGGAGCAGUAGGGAAUCUGACGCAAUGGGCGAAAGCCUGACGGAGCAACGCCGCGUGAGAGAUGAAGGUCUUCGGAUCGUAAAACUCUGUUAUUAGGGAAGAACAAAUGUGUAAGUAACUAUGCACGUCUUGACGGUACCUAAUCAGAAAGCCACGGCUAACUACGUG
This 497-nucleotide ribosomal RNA is filed under the name uncultured bacterium. Its description in RNAcentral is "partial 16S ribosomal RNA". It matches the Rfam family "Bacterial small subunit ribosomal RNA", at positions 28 to 507 of the family's 1533-position model. The record is from RNAcentral.